This 425-nucleotide ribosomal RNA is filed under the name uncultured bacterium. RNAcentral's name for it is "partial 16S ribosomal RNA". It matches the Rfam family "Bacterial small subunit ribosomal RNA", at positions 354 to 796 of the family's 1533-position model. The record is from RNAcentral.
GUAGGGAAUCUUGCGCAAUGGGCGAAAGCCUGACGCAGCCAUGCCGCGUGAAUGAUGAAGGUCUUAGGAUUGUAAAAUUCUUUCACCGGGGACGAUAAUGACGGUACCCGGAGAAGAAGCCCCGGCUAACUUCGUGCCAGCAGCCGCGGUAAUACGAAGGGGGCUAGCGUUGCUCGGAAUUACUGGGCGUAAAGGGAGCGUAGGCGGAUAGUUUAGUCAGAGGUGAAAGCCCAGGGCUCAACCUUGGAAUUGCCUUUGAUACUGGCUAUCUUGAGUAUGGAAGAGGUAUGUGGAACUCCGAGUGUAGAGGUGAAAUUCGUAGAUAUUCGGAAGAACACCAGUGGCGAAGGCGACUCACUGGCCCGUUACUGACGCUGAGGCGCGAAAGCGUGGGGAGCAAACAGGAUUAGAAACCCCUGUAGUCC